This is a non-coding RNA of Peromyscus californicus insignis, 485 nucleotides long. The record is from the annotation of a RefSeq genome assembly. NCBI's taxonomy places the organism in Eukaryota, Metazoa, Chordata, Mammalia, Rodentia, Cricetidae.
AUGAAAUGGAGCUGCAUCAUCCUCUUGCUGGUGGCAGCAGCUACAGGUGUUCACUCCCAGGUCCAGCUGCAGCAGUCUGGGCCUGAGCUGGUGAGGCCUGGGGCCUCAGUGAAGUUGUCCUGCAAGGCUUCUGGCUACGCCUUCACUAGCUACCCUAUCAACUGGGUGAAGCAGAGGCCUGGACAGGGCCUGGAGUGGAUUGGAUGGAUUGGUACUACAAGUGGUAAUACUGGCUAUGCACAGAAUUUCCAGGGCAAGGCCACACUGACUUUAGACAAAUCCUCCAGCACAGCCUACAUGGAGCUCAACAGCCUGGCCUCUGAGGACUCUGCUGUCUAUUACUGUGCAAGACACACUGUAUCAGUUCCUUGGUGGAAUCUUUGGGGUCGCUCAAGUAUACUAUCAUGUCAUCUGCAAAUAGGGAAAGCUUGACUUCUUCCUUUCCAAUUUGUAUCCCCUUAAUCUCCUUAUGUUGUCUUAUUGCU